This 253-nucleotide ribosomal RNA is filed under the name uncultured bacterium. RNAcentral's name for it is "partial 16S ribosomal RNA". It matches the Rfam family "Bacterial small subunit ribosomal RNA", at positions 524 to 776 of the family's 1533-position model. The record is from RNAcentral.
CACGUAGGGCGCAAGCGUUGUCCGGAAUUAUUGGGCGUAAAGAGCUCGUAGGCGGUUUGUUGCGUCGGCUGUGAAAUCCCGAGGCUCAACCUCGGGUCUGCAGUCGAUACGAGCAAACUAGAGUGUUGCAGGGGAGAGUGGAAUUCCCAGUGUAGAGGUGAAAUUCGUAGAUAUCGGGAAGAACACCCGUGGCGAAGGCGGCUCUCUGGGACGGUACUGACGCUGAGACGCGAAAGCGUGGGGAGCGAACAGG